AAAAGGAACAUUGAGAAUAGGCAACAGGAGGUUGCGCCUUCUCAAGAUGAUCCUUACGAGGGUUCACAGAAGAACUACAAGGUAAGAAUGUAGUUUGGUCCUUUU
Parabacteroides distasonis ATCC 8503 is the source of this 105-nucleotide small RNA. It matches the Rfam family "Parabacteroides-1 RNA". The record is from Rfam. Lineage: Bacteria; Pseudomonadati; Bacteroidota; Bacteroidia; Bacteroidales; Tannerellaceae.